Molecule: RNA transcript, 5626 nt
Organism: Myotis myotis
Lineage: Eukaryota; Metazoa; Chordata; Mammalia; Chiroptera; Vespertilionidae
Gene: DEGS2
Gene name: delta 4-desaturase, sphingolipid 2
Exons: 5
Source: RefSeq, a predicted model, not a curated record
GCGCGGAGCCGGCGACAGGUGGAGCGCAGCCGAGCCUUGCCCUGCUCCCUGCUCCCUGCUCCCUGCUCCCUGCUCCCUGCUCCGUGCGCGCUCCCGGCCCACCAUGGGCAACAGCGCGGGUCGCAGCGACUUCGAGUGGGUCUACACCGACCAGCCGCACACGCAGCGCCGGAAGGAGAUGCUGGCCAAGUACCCGGCCAUCAAGGCCCUGAUGCGGCCGGACCCUCAUCUCAAGUGGACGGUGCUGGGGCUGGUGCUGGUGCAGCUGCUGGCCUGCUGGCUGGUGCGGGGGCUGGCGUGGCGCUGGCUGCUCUUCUGGGCCUACGCCUUUGGCGGCUGCGUGAACCACUCGCUGACGCUGGCCAUCCACGACAUCUCGCACAACACGGCCUUCGGCACGGGCCGCGCCGCCCACAACCGCUGGUUCGCCGUCUUCGCCAACCUGCCCGUGGGCGUGCCCUACGCCGCCUCCUUCAAGAAGUACCACGUGGACCACCACCGCUACCUGGGCGGCGACGGGCUGGACGUGGACGUGCCCACGCGCCUGGAGGGCUGGCUCUUCUGCACGCCGGCCCGGAAGCUGCUCUGGCUGGUGCUGCAGCCCCUGUUCUACUCCCUGCGGCCGCUCUGCGUGAACCCCAAGGCCCUGACGCGCAUGGAGGUGUUCAACGCCCUGGUCCAGCUGGCGGCCGACGCGGCCAUCUUCGCCCUCUGGGGGCUCAAGCCCGUGGUCUACCUGCUGGCCAGCACCCUGCUGGGCCUGGGCCUGCACCCCAUCUCCGGCCACUUCGUGGCUGAGCACUACAUGUUCGUCAAGGGCCACGAGACCUACUCCUACUAUGGGCCCCUCAACUGGAUCACCUUCAACGUGGGCUACCACAUGGAGCACCACGACUUCCCCAGCAUCCCCGGUUGCAACCUGCCCCUGGUUCCUGCUGCCAAGCAAGCAAGUGACCAUGCGGGAAUGGAGCCUGUGAUCUGGGCCCACAAAUCAGAGUCACCUUGCCAAGGCCACACAGGAACUGGUGGCAGAGCUAGGACCAGUGCCCAGGACGAAUGUCACCCAGUCCAGGGCUGUGUCUACUCCAGCAUGCUGUGCCCAGCAGCACCCCCCUGCCCCAGCUUAGCAGCAGACACACUCCGACUGCCUCCCUUGUUGAACACCAGCUCAGUUCAGGACACACAACAAGCCUUUAAAAGAAUUGCAAACGGAACGAAGUGCAAUAAAAACCGGCCACCUCGACGGUGUGACAAAGCUCCUGCGCAACAUUUUUUUGAUUAAUCUGCUCAACUAUCCAGGGCAGGGCCCAUCAGACCUAUUUAUAGAUGGGGAAACUGAGGCUCGGACAGGGCGACUGACUCGCCCAAGGCCACUUGCGCCUCAAGUGACCGGUGCUGCCGGGACAAGAGUCCUCAUGUCCCGAGGCCCCGUCUGCACGCUGCUGUUUCCGCCCGCCCGUCCUGCAAAGCCUGCGUGUAAACAGCUUCCAAGCCCUCUAUGGGUCAGUGGCAGCUGCCUGGCUCCUGCAGUGGGAAACCGAUCCUCGGGCGCCCGUCAGAUGGGCUUCACACUUCAAUCUUUAAUGCGGCUUCCCAGCUAACCUAUCAGAACCCUCCUGUCUACCCGAUUCCAGGGAGCCCUGGGGGCCCGGGGGAGGGUCUGCCAGAGGAAACCUCCUGCCACGGCUCUCCUCUGGUCCCCUGUGGGCGAUGGGAUGAGACAGGUGGGCCCGGAGCCAAAGGGAACAGGUGACCGGCCAAAGGAAGAACCCCGGGCGCUGUUCAGCUGGGCUACCCCUUCCACCUCGGGCCAUCCAGGCGUCCCUGCGGGCUGUUCCUUGGCCUACCUUUCCUCACCAUCGUACCCACUGCUAUCCGAAGCUGCUCCCGAGAGCCCCGUUUGUUUUUUUUACCAGCAUGACCAGCUCCAAGGCCCGCAGGAAACGGAUCCCUCAACCUGCCAGGAAGCUCAUCUGCACCUCCCCAACUGGCAAACCCACAGGUCCACAGGAGUAACUCGGGUCCAGGCUGGGCUUCUGUCCCCAUGGAGCACUCCCGGGUCCUCUCCCAGCCCCCUGCUCUGUCCUAAGGAUUGCACUCACUGCCCACAUGGAGCUGCAGUUCACCCCCCUGAACCAUGAGCUCCUUGAGAGGGAAGCUCAGGGCCUGGCACAACGUACGCAGAGAACGUCUGUGGGUCAUGCCCAAACUCGGCAUCACCUCCAAGUCUCCCUGUCCGACACCAAGUCAGCACCUUCUCACAAAAGCCACGGCUGUUUCCCGGUCCCCUGUGGUUUCUCCUGCUCUCCGCCCUCUGCUUGUCCCCAGAGGGGACAGAGACAGCAGAAAGUGCUGUUUCUCCCGCAGACUGUCUUUCAGGUCACCUUCUCUGCCCUGCCUAGAUCCCAGACGCAUGCUCUCCUACUGGGGAGCCCCCACCUGGUCUCUGUGCCCCAGGCUCGUACCUUUGAGCCCCUGCUUUCACGUGAAACAGAAAGCUUAGCUCCUCCAUGCUGUUCCCCAGCCAGGAAACCAGUGGCUCCCGCUGGCUCCCCUGGGAAAUCCUGCUUGGGGACCUGAGGCCUCCUACACUCUGACUUGCCUGGCCCAGCCCCCGCUGCCUCCUUCAGCCCUGUGUCCCCACUAGCGACCUGCCGGGGCCAGGCACCAUCUCCCUUACAGUCUUCCCUCGUGGAUACUGAUUGCUCCCUCUUCACCUCCCUGGACUAAAAUGCAACUGUGCAAAACACAAAUGAGUCUGCGAGGCACAAAGCUGGACUUUAAAGGAAUUUGGGGAGCCCCACUCCCUGCCUAGAAAGGUCAUCUGAUGGCUGGCAUCUCCUCUCCCAACUCAGGGUUCACACGGGCCCUGCCUAUCCAAAUCCUUCCCCAGACAAUUAGCAUAUUGAUUCUAGUGGGCUCUACACCCUGAGCAGAGAGUCACUUUCCCUCCCUGGGACUUAAUCCGCGCCCCUCCACCCCCUGGGCUGUGCCGGAGAGGAGGCAUCAGAUGCUGGCAGCAGCAGCGCCCAGCGCCUACUGACUGCUCACCAGGCUCCAGGCACUGUUCUGAGCACGUGGACUGAAGCCACUUAGAGCUAAAUGGAGUCCUGGCUCUGUCAGUUACUCUGUGACCUUGGGCAGGUUACUGAACCUAACUCUGUUUCAUGUCUGAAAAUUAACCAAAGCACCACUUGUCUUGGUGUGUGGAUCAAUGGCACGCUGAUCAGCCUAGAGUGGAUACAGUGCAACUCGACAAUCCCUGUCUCUUUCCCUGCUUGGUAGUUCUGAGUGGUUAGCAUUUCAUAGUAAAAGCUGUCCAUUAAGUUCUCAUAACACAUCGCACGAAGGGGCCAGGAGUGGCUAUCGUUACCCCACUGGGCCAUGGAUGCCCAGAGAGAGGAAAAACUUGCCUGCAUAAAAUUAGUGAGUGACAGCCGGAACCGGACCAGGGCCUGCAGCCUCAACCCCAUGCGGUCCCAAUAGCACCCUGUCUCUGGGGAGCCACCUCUACCACGGGUUCUGUUGUGAAAACUCCCAAAGGAGAGGCCUCAGGGCGGUACCCAGUGGUCAGACAUCCAACUUGAGACCCGCCUUCCAGCAACGGGCCACUUGGCCUCCAGGAGCAGCACAGGGGCAUGUCAGGAGGAAGGCGCUGGAUACACUGAAAGUGAAGCUGUAACCAGACCUGGGACGGGGGCCCAGCAGAUCCCUGUGUUAAUUCUCCAUCACUCCCCACCAGAGAAGCUGUGCUGGAUGGGGUCACAGACUCUCCUGCCCUCCCUACCCUGGCGGAGCUGGAUGCCCAGGAGGGGAGUAAUGACAUUUCAACAUCAGUGUGUGCAAAAGGGGUCAGGAGGGACAAGUGCCACUGAAACCAGGUGGCUGGCUGGGUUUGAACCCGAUUCUGCCGGGGUCCGACGUUCCGAGCCAGUUUCUCCGUCUCUAAGAUGAGGGUCUUGGCUGAUAUGACCACAGGGCCCUUUCUCAUACCAUGAGCCUAUGAGUUUGUUAAUGAAAUGUAUUUGUUUCUUCAACAAGUACUUAUUCCCAAUUUUCACUCCAGUGGAGGGAAGGUAUUUCCAGAACAGAUCUCCAAGAACAUGCUGUUAAUGAUGCUGGCCACACCUGCUCUGCUAGAGGCCCGUACACUCCCUGACUCUACUCCUGAACUGGAAUGGCCCUUCCAACUCAGGGGUGGGCACCCCAACAGCUUGGUGUGCUCUGGGGGUAAUAUGUGGAGAAACAGGGAGGAUGCUGACCAUCCUUCUACACUGAAUGGUCAAUAGUUCAAAACAGGGAAAUAUUCAUAAAGUAGAAAUAAAAUCUGCAUGAGUUUUUACAACACAAGACUUUCCAGGGCUCAGGAGACUGGGGGUCACUUUAGGCCACACACACACCAGACAGAAGAAAGGCAGGCUGCUGGGAUGUAACCUGACCGGGAAUCGAACCAGCAACUUUUCAGUGCAUGGGAUGCUGCUCCAACCACCUGAGCCAUACUCACCAGGGCAGGACCUGCUCCUUUUCUUAAGGAGGGUGGGAGUUAGCCCUGGGGGCGUCACCACUUUGUCCCACACCGAUCACGACUCGCCAUGCAGGGGGUGAGAGCCUAGGAAAGUGUCUCGGGACUGGGUGCCCCAGCAGCAGCCUGCUUCCUUAUGGUGCUGACGGCUUAGAAGCCAUGUCCCCAUCUGCUUGACCAUCCCAGCCUCACAGCUUUGUAGGCGGCCAGUAGGUCAUUGUAAAGCUGAGGAAACUAAGGCUCGGGGUGGUGAAACGGCCUGCUCAAGGUGCCAUGGCUGCUCUCUGUCAUGGCCUGGAGCAUGGGACUGGCACCCUGUCAUCUGCUCCCGGAGUUUGUGUCAUUUUGUCAGUCACCGGUGUUGCCCAUCGCUGCUCACUGUGCCCAACCCAAGGCUCAUUAGGCAGGCCUGGCGAGACAGCAUUUCGUGGGAACCAUUUGCUAUCUCACCACCUGACUGGGCGUGGUGCCCAGGCUGACCUAUGGAAAACUAAACGGCCCAAAGACUUCUUCUGUUAGUGCCAGGGAGAGAAUUCCGGGGCUGGUGGAAGGAGGUACUUCUCCAGGGGCGAGGGAAGCGCACACACACCAGCAUCUUUAAAGGAAGAGAAUGGCAGCAGCAGGGUGUUCAGAAGGUAGGAGUCCCCAGGAGGGAUACAAAGUCCCACCAAUGUGCAGAGGGAGACCCCAAGGGUCAGGCAGAACCUCUUCUGGGACCCCCAAACCACCGAGAUCUGCCUGGUCCACCAGAAUCCUCCUUACCAUCUGGUCCUCCCCACCUACCCUCAACCCCACAGGCUCAGGCCAAACCCUGCCCACCUGGUCCUCCCCACCUACCCUCAACCCUGCAGGCUCAGGCCAAGCCCUGCCCACCUGGUCCUCCCCACCUACCCUCAACCCUGCAGGCUCAGGCCAAGCCCUGCUUUCCUCACCCCGCGUCCCAAAGCACAGGCUGCGGCAUCACCCCAGGAGCUGGUAUGGUUAACUUUUCAAAUAUUAAAGAAAAGAGUAGCCCUAACUGGUUUAGCUCAGUGGAUAGAGCAUCAGCCUGCGGACUCAAGGGUCCCAGGUUCGAUUCUGGUCAAGGGCAUGUACCUUGGUUGC